GUCUUCGUAGCUCAGUUGGUUAGAGCGUCUGACUGUUACUCUCUGGAUAACAAAGUCAGCCUAUCUCUUCCUUAGCGGGGAGGUUGUGCACCACGACAUGUGGCACAUCAGGAGGUCGACAGUUCGAACCUGUCCGAGGACG
RNAcentral lists this transfer RNA (142 nucleotides) under Rhodotorula toruloides. RNAcentral's name for it is "Rhodosporidium toruloides tRNA". It matches the Rfam family "tRNA". From Rfam's summary of the family: Transfer RNA (tRNA) molecules are approximately 80 nucleotides in length. Their secondary structure includes four short double-helical elements and three loops (D, anti-codon, and T loops). RNAcentral also lists the same sequence under 1 other name. The record is from Rfam by way of RNAcentral. Lineage: Eukaryota; Fungi; Basidiomycota; Microbotryomycetes; Sporidiobolales; Sporidiobolaceae.